UACGAAAGGGGCUAGCGUUGUUCGGAAUUACUGGGCGUAAAGCGCACGUAGGCGGACAUUUAAGUCAGGGGUGAAAUCCCAGAGCUCAACUCUGGAACUGCCUUUGAUACUGGGUGUCUAGAGUAUGGAAGAGGUGAGUGGAAUUCCGAGUGUAGAGGUGAAAUUCGUAGAUAUUCGGAGGAACACCAGUGGCGAAGGCGGCUCACUGGUCCAUUACUGACGCUGAGGUGCGAAAGCGUGGGGAGCAAACAGG
Molecule: ribosomal RNA, 253 nt
Filed under: uncultured bacterium
Lineage: Bacteria
Description: partial 16S ribosomal RNA
Rfam family: Bacterial small subunit ribosomal RNA
Source: RNAcentral